AUAUUAAUAAGCGGAGGAAAAGAAACUAACCAGGAUUCCCCUAGUAACGGCGAGUAAAGCGGCAAAAGCCCAAAAUGGAAAUCUUGGCGAAAGCCACGAAUUGUAAUCUAUAGAGGUUCAGCUCAACGGGCGGUGGCGCAGAAGUGACCUCGAACGGUCCGCCAGAGAGGGUGACAGCCCCGUAUGUGGUGCCACUGCUUAACGAGCUGGGUUUCGAAGAGUCGGGUUGUUUAGUAUUGCAGCCCUAAGUGGGAGAUAAACUUCUUCUAAGGCUAAAUAUUUACGGGAGACCGAUAGCGCACAAGUA
RNAcentral lists this ribosomal RNA (307 nucleotides) under uncultured eukaryote. Its description in RNAcentral is "partial large subunit ribosomal RNA". It matches the Rfam family "Eukaryotic large subunit ribosomal RNA", at positions 40 to 350 of the family's 3401-position model. The record is from RNAcentral.